This 404-nucleotide ribosomal RNA is filed under the name Staphylococcus saprophyticus. Its description in RNAcentral is "bacterial SSU rRNA". It matches the Rfam family "Bacterial small subunit ribosomal RNA", at positions 992 to 1393 of the family's 1533-position model. Lineage: Bacteria; Bacillati; Bacillota; Bacilli; Caryophanales; Staphylococcaceae. The record is from RNAcentral.
AGUUGGACUCUAGAGAUAGAGCCUUCCCCUUCGGGGGACAAAGUGACAGGUGGUGCAUGGUUGUCGUCAGCUCGUGUCGUGAGAUGUUGGGUUAAGUCCCGCAACGAGCGCAACCCUUAAGCUUAGUUGCCAUCAUUAAGUUGGGCACUCUAGGUUGACUGCCGGUGACAAACCGGAGGAAGGUGGGGAUGACGUCAAAUCAUCAUGCCCCUUAUGAUUUGGGCUACACACGUGCUACAAUGGACAAUACAAAGGGCAGCUAAACCGCGAGGUCAUGCAAAUCCCAUAAAGUUGUUCUCAGUUCGGAUUGUAGUCUGCAACUCGACUACAUGAAGCUGGAAUCGCUAGUAAUCGUAGAUCAGCAUGCUACGGUGAAUACGUUCCCGGGUCUUGAAACACACCGA